Molecule: ribosomal RNA, 465 nt
Filed under: Vreelandella stevensii
Lineage: Bacteria; Pseudomonadati; Pseudomonadota; Gammaproteobacteria; Oceanospirillales; Halomonadaceae
Description: partial 16S ribosomal RNA
Rfam family: Bacterial small subunit ribosomal RNA
Source: RNAcentral
CCUACGGGUGGCAGCAGUGGGGAAUAUUGGACAAUGGGCGAAAGCCUGAUCCAGCCAUGCCGCGUGUGUGAAGAAGGCCUUCGGGUUGUAAAGCACUUUCAGUGGGGAAGAAAGCCUUGGGGCUAAUACCCUCGAGGAAGGACAUCACCCACAGAAGAAGCACCGGCUAACUCCGUGCCAGCAGCCGCGGUAAUACGGAGGGUGCGAGCGUUAAUCAGAAUUACUGGGCGUAAAGCGCGCGUAGGCGGUCUGAUAAGCCGGUUGUGAAAGCCCCGGGCUCAACCUGGGAACGGCAUCCGGAACUGUCAGGCUAGAGUGCAGGAGAGGAAGGUAGAAUUCCCGGUGUAGCGGUGAAAUGCGUAGAGAUCGGGAGGAAUACCAGUGGCGAAGGCGGCCUUCUGGACUGACACUGACGCUGAGGUGCGAAAGCGUGGGUAGCAAACAGGAUUAGAUACCCCUGUAGUC